RNAcentral lists this Y RNA (101 nucleotides) under Cavia aperea (Brazilian guinea pig). RNAcentral describes it as "Y RNA (ENSCAPG00000005172.1)". It matches the Rfam family "Y RNA". Rfam says of the family: Y RNAs are components of the Ro ribonucleoprotein particle (Ro RNP), in association with Ro60 and La proteins. The Y RNAs and Ro60 and La proteins are well conserved, but the function of the Ro RNP is not known. Lineage: Eukaryota; Metazoa; Chordata; Mammalia; Rodentia; Caviidae. The record is from RNAcentral.
GGCUGGUCCCAGUGCAGUGGUGUUUACAACUAAUUGAUCACAGCCAGUUACAGAUUUUUUGUUCCUUCUCCACUCCCACUGCUUCACUUGACUAGCCUAAA